This 2007-nucleotide small RNA is filed under the name Drosophila ananassae. Its description in RNAcentral is "GF26711". Lineage: Eukaryota; Metazoa; Arthropoda; Insecta; Diptera; Drosophilidae. The record is from RNAcentral.
CUUUCCGAUCACAGUCAACUAAAAUACUUCAAAUAAUAAUACAGAUUCUAAAUUCUUACGAUGUGUGAAAGCUUACCGAAAAUAGAUCCAAGAGGAGUUACUUGGUGUGUGGCUGUUACUACUCUAGUUUAUGGAUUUAUUUCAACAAUAUUUUUUAUGCUUUUCUUUGUGGUUUUUUUGGGUAAAUUGGAGUGGAAUAAAAAUCAUGACGCAACCAAUAUCGUACACAUAUUUAUUUUUAUAUUAUAUCUUAUAAUUCAAAUAACUGGUAUUCUAUCCGGCGGUUUCUUGAUCUAUGGGUUGAUAACGAGACUCCCUCGGAUGCUUUUUAUUGGCAGAGUUUUGGGAUUUGUAUUUGCAUUUUCAAAUUUCUAUUCCCUUUACCUAAUUAUUUACUCAAUAUUAUCAAAUUAUACUCUAAGAUAUAUAAAGUUUCUUAAUUUUAAUGAGCACCAAAAGUGAUUUUAAAACAAAGAGAGUUAUAACUUUCAUCAGGAUCUUGUAAAAAGAUAUGAAUAAAAGGACUUCAUCACGUUACCAUCUCUAGCUCACAUGCCAAUUGGUGUAGUUGAGUGUGUGUGGGGGCCUUUUGCAAUUUUCCAGCUAAAUGGCAUACAUUAAUUAACGGUUUUGUGCGACAGACGACUCGGGUCCAGGUUCUGGUUCUGGUUCAGAUUCGGAUUCAGCUUCAGGUCCAGACCCCGGGCUUCACAUUCAUUUUGACCCUCACGCUCUUGGCUCACGAAAAAGAUUAAUGGUGCGUUAUUAAUGUGUAAUGACAAAUGUUAGUGCCCCCCCUCCCACUACCACUGCCCCUUCGGUAUGCCACGCCCUCUUGCCCAUCAUGGCAACCGCCGCUGUGUAUGUGAGAUCUCACUUUGGCGCUAAAUGGAUUUACGUAGCUCGGCCAUGGUGUCCAUCCAUUUGCCUGAAAAUGAUUGAAAUAAAUAUUUAAUUAAGGCGCCAGAGUGCAGCGGCAGUCGAAACAAAGAAAAACAGCAACUUUGCUCUAAAUUUUCAUAAAAAAUUCAAUGCCACGUUCCGACAACAGCCGACAACGAUAUGCAAUAAAGUGCGGGCGGCAAAAUGUGUCACCGUGUUAUAAAUAAAACCAAAGGAUGGGUAACAGGACGAAAAGAUGCCCUCAAAAUAAUUAAACUUAAAAAGUCAUUUAUCCUUUCCAGGAUCAUGUAAAUGCCAGUGUACUCCGCCAUCCAAAAGAAACCACAUCAACAUCAGCGUCAAAGUGACAGGACCAGAAGCUGGCAAACACACACGAAAAACUCUGACCAGAUCGUUUCAAGGGCCCGAUAGAUAUGGCCCAGAAAUCGUAGGUAUUGGAGUGGGUAUAGGGGCAGUCGGGCUUACCGGCUAAAUGUUGUUGUGGCAAACAAGUAAAUAAAUGACAAACUAAAGCCAAAUUAAGUAAAUAAAAUUGUUGCCGCUGUCAGGGGCAUAAAGUGACGCCUGACACGGACAUGGACACGAACACGAGCACAAACUUCCAGGCAGGACAUGGGACAUGGUAGCUGACAGGACACCGGUCCUGUAUCUCAGAGUCAGGACUACAGGACUUCAGUUGAAGCGCCCUCUGUUGUCAGAGUCAUGUGACAGUCCUGAAAAUGUCAACAAGUUGAAUGCAACAACAUGGCCAACUGAAAUGAGACGAGGCCCAAAGUGAGGUCAAAGAUGAGGUAAAGGCCAUAGGUGCGGGCCGACUUUAAUGCGGCAGUAUACCAAAAUUGAAAAAGGUUUGAUAACCCCGGAGGAUUUUUUAGCCCAGCCUAGACGAGCCAAAGAGAGCUGCUCGCGUCGAGGACGAGGUCCUUCCUCGGUCGCAUUGGGCAGACAAACGCUGACAUGUGUCAAAACGAAAAGUGUACAAUUUAUCAAAGGCAACAAUAACGAAAAUAGAAGCAAGACCCGCCAUUGAGCAGAUCCGGAGUGGAGACAAUGAAGCAACCAAAGAAUAAAGGAACUUUUCGACUUUUAAAUACCAUCUACUGG